This 609-nucleotide ribosomal RNA is filed under the name uncultured bacterium. RNAcentral describes it as "bacterial SSU rRNA". It matches the Rfam family "Bacterial small subunit ribosomal RNA", at positions 335 to 937 of the family's 1533-position model. The record is from RNAcentral.
CACCUACGGGAGGCUGCAGUCGAGAAUCAUCCGCAAUGGGCGAAAGCCUGACGGUGCGACGCCGCGUGGAGGAUGAAGGCCUUCGGGUUGUAAACUCCUGUCACAGGUUAAGAAUGUCCUAUCAUUAAUAGUGGUAGGGUUGACGUAACCCUGAGAGGAAGCACUGGCUAACUUCGUGCCAGCAGCCGCGGUAAUACGAACCGCACGAACGUUAUUCGGAAUCACUGGGCUUAAAGGGUGCGUAGGCGGUCCUGUAAGUUGGGUGUGAAAUCCCUCGGCUCAACCGAGGAAUUGCGCUCAAUACUGCAGGACUUGAGGGAGAUAGAGGUAAGCGGAACUCAGGGUGGAGCGGUGAAAUGUGUUGAUAUCGACCGGAACACCAAAUGCGAAGGCAGUCAACUGGGGCAUUUCUGACGCUGAGAGACGAAAGCGUGGGUAGCAAAAAGGAUUAGAUACCCUUGUAGUCCACGCCCUAAACUAUGGACACUAGCUAUUUGAAGUGUCGACCCUUCAAGUGGCGAAGCUAACGCGUUAAGUGUCCUGCCUGGGAAGUACGGCCGCAAGGCUAAAACUCAAAAGAAUAGACGGGGCUUCACACAAGCGGUGGAG